AGAACACAGUGCUGCAUGGCUGUCGGUCAGCUCGUGUCGUGAGAUGUUGGGUUAAGUCCCGCAACGAGCGCAACCCUUGUCACUAGUUGCCAUCAUUUGGUUGGGCACUCUAGUGAGACUGCCGGUGACAAACCGGAGGAAGGUGGGGGAUGACGUCAAGUCCUCAUGGCCCUUAUGGGUAGGGCUUCACACGUCAUACAAUGGUCGGUACAGAGGGUUGCCAAGCCGCGAGGUGGAGCCAAUCCCUUAAAGCCGAUCGUAGUCCGGAUCGUAGUCUGCAACUCGACUACGUGAAGUCGGAAUCGCUAGUAAUCGCAGAUCAGCAUGCUGCGGUGAAUACGUUCCCGGGUCUU
Molecule: ribosomal RNA, 353 nt
Filed under: uncultured Thauera sp.
Lineage: Bacteria; Pseudomonadati; Pseudomonadota; Betaproteobacteria; Rhodocyclales; Zoogloeaceae
Description: bacterial SSU rRNA
Rfam family: Bacterial small subunit ribosomal RNA
Source: RNAcentral